Vicia faba (fava bean) is the source of this 207-nucleotide non-coding RNA. Lineage: Eukaryota; Viridiplantae; Streptophyta; Magnoliopsida; Fabales; Fabaceae. The record is from the annotation of a GenBank genome assembly.
AUGCUGAUAAUAAUAUCAAAAUGUAUCUCAUAUUGCAUGAAAACUACUACCUAUGAAGUGCAGAAAAUUUUCAAGUCUGCACCCAGUUACACAAUUUCCAUCACAGUACUUCUACUACAUGCUUGGCCUUUAUUUGUGGUAUCCUACAACAACUUGAUAAGCAAUGAGAAUUCCUUCAAUACUUCUCUUUCAACUUGUGUACGUUAA